Molecule: non-coding RNA, 2519 nt
Organism: Oncorhynchus mykiss (rainbow trout)
Lineage: Eukaryota; Metazoa; Chordata; Actinopteri; Salmoniformes; Salmonidae
Source: RefSeq, a predicted model, not a curated record
GUUCUCAGUACAGACAUGUUUACAGUCCGUCUAGAAACAAUGAUCCUGCUACCUUAAAUGUGUAGAUUAACAUGAUUGUCUAAUUUCGUUGCUUAUAUGUACUACAUAAAUGUUAUUUUUAAGACAACGUUGAAUUAACAGACAAUAUCCAAGAUGUACGGAAACAAUAUGGGGCAAAAAAAAUAAACAAAUGUAGCUUUGUAAUUAAUAUUGGGCUUGUGCAUCGAUAAAUGUGUUCCCUUGCAAUGCAAACUGAAUAUCAUUGCCAUAGCAUGUAAAAUAGAAAGCUAUUUGUAGGUUCGAAUAAACGAACCAGACCCUCCUAAUUUUCGACUUAUCUUUGUAAUGCAAAUCCCAAAAUUAUGUAGUUAUAUCGUAGAUACGUCGCCAGUUUUAAUCGCUUGCUAACUAGUUAGCUAUAUCCAGGAUUUGUUUAUAUUAUUGAAUAUCAUGGACAGGGAGUCUUACUAUAACUGCUGCAGCCUUGUCAAAAUACCAAGGCAAUCCUAUGAAAAAUUCUGGUCUUCGCACUUUGUGGAUUACAUAGACAAGGAGUUGAGCUAUUCCAAAUUCUUUAAAAAGGUACUUACUUCCCAACCACCCAUUCAUGUUCUCGAGGAAAUUCACUAGACUGGACAUGCAGAAAACAGUGGAUCACUGAAGAGGGGAAACCAACCUUCCAGAAACUGCUGCAGCAAUUUGGUAAAUAAAUGUUGUUACAGAUCUAUUACAAUGCCCAGUAACUUUGUAUUCAUAAUGUUGGUGUGACAUGAACGAGUUUGAUUAGCCUAGGCAUGGGCUGUCCUGAUCUGUGAUUUGACAGCCAUAUCUCAUCGUCUGUGGAAUUAUCUGAUAUAAUUUGUGCUGCAGUUAUGAUGAACAAAUAACCCAUUUCUAAGUUGUUUUCACAAAAGGUUUUUCUAUUGUUUUUUACCCUUGCAGAUUAGACUCUGGUUCCUGUUGCAAACAGUAAUGUGAAAGAAUACAAUGCAAACCCCAAACAAAUUAUUUAUUCACUACUGGAAAGAAUACAUCCAGAAUGGACACACGUCACCAAAAGGAUGUCUAUCUGAACGAUUCUAAACUAUCAAAAUAAAGAAAGUCGCACACUCCAUGUAUAAUCUCCCAGCAAUUUAAUGGGUAUUUACCAACGUUUCGGCAUCACCCUGAGGAAGGCACAGUGAUGCCAAAACAUUGGUAAAUACCCAUUAAAUUGCUGGGCGAUUAUACAUGGAGUGUGCGACUUUAUUUUGAUAGCUUAUUCGCCGUUAGUCAGCACCUCCACACAAACUAUUAUUCUGGGUGGGCGCCAGCGCAUGUUUUUUAAAAUCUUUUAUCUGAAGUAUUGACACAUGUCAAGGUAUUGAUUUCACUGAUAUGUUGCCUCAGUCCAAAAGAGCAGCAGUCCAAAAGAUUUGAAAGUGUUUAUUUGUAAUGAAUAGUACUUGUACUCUUUGCGUUCUUACGAAACUAUGCAGUAUUUUGUUUUUUUAUGUAUUAUUUCUUACACUGUUACCACAGGAAAUCUUAAGUCUUAUUACAUACAGCCGGGAGGAACUAUUGGAUAUAAGAGCAACGCCAACUUACCAGGAACACGACAGGUCUGUUCAACACUGGUCCAACCAAUCUGAUUCCAUGCUUCAAGAUUGCUUCGAUCACAUAUGUUCCGGAUGGCAUCGAACAACAUUGAUCUAUACGCUGAUUCGCAGGGAUUUUCCUUAACGCGUUUAUACCACCCCAGUCUUCUUUUCUUCUGACUGGUUCAAUAAGUAUUGGGAUACCUUGGAGGUGGACGACUACCGCUACGUCUACAUGGAACCCAAAGACUCAUGGUAUAACAAAACAUAUUUCAUUAUAGACCCUAAUAUGGAUAUCCUAUUAUCUCUCCCUUAACAUCAUGUGCUUGUUUCUCUCAUCACUACAGGACGCCAUUCCACACUGAUGCGUUUCGCUCCUACAGCUUGUCAGUGAAUAUCUGUGGCAGUAAAAAAUGUAUCCUAUAUCCCAAGGAGCCAAGGGGCCAAGGAGAGUUUCUACAAGACAGCCAUGGCAACCUUGCUUAUGACAUCACUACCCCCGAGCUUCAAGACAAUGGGCAGUUCCCACACUCUGUUGAGGCCUGCCAACCACUAGAGAUCAUUCAGGAAGCGGGUCAUCAUGAAGUCUUGCUCUGGGAUUGACUACAGGGAGUUUGCCUCUUUCCAAAAGAUCAUCGCUGACAACCGCAUGUCUUUCUUGAGCUCUUGAAACACCUCAAAUUACCCUCUGCAUCUUUCAAAUACCCUGACCACGUUAGGACCUCACCACGCUGCCUGUGACCUGCAGAGGAUGGCUCACAUUCUAGAAUGCAUGCUCUGCAAUUACUUUAACUGGAACAUUCAACUCUGAGCUCACACAACACCCACCCGUAGAUCGCACUCCAGCAGGUAUAUCUCACUGGUCACCCCAAAGCCUAUUCUUCCUUUGGCCGCCUUUCCUUCCAGUUCUCUGCUGCCAAUGAUUGGAACAAACUGCAAAAA